Lineus longissimus is the source of this 1757-nucleotide long non-coding RNA. RefSeq lists it as uncharacterized. The record is from RefSeq and is a predicted model, not a curated record. The transcript is spliced from 4 exons. Lineage: Eukaryota; Metazoa; Nemertea; Pilidiophora; Heteronemertea; Lineidae.
GAGAUCCUCUGUACCCUACAGUAAAAGGACGAAGCAGCUUGGUUUGACCUGGGGAAAUAUCCACUGACUAGCCUGCAUGGUUUCAAGGAAGAUGAGAUGGAGAGAUACAACAUACAUGGAGAAAUCUGUGUCUGUAUCAUAAAGGUCUUGUGUGUGUAUCAUGAAGAGGGAUUCAGUCGACUUUUGAAGGAACAAAUAUUUCGGCUCGUCCAUCUGAUGGCACAGACUGGAAAAGAGAAAAGCUACCGCACCAUCGUUCUCUUGGUAAUCAUACCAAGAUCAGUCCACAUGCUGAGGGUUGCAACUCCAACACCACUAACAAGAUUUCACUGUGAUCAGCUGACUAAAACAAAAUCUGACUGGAGAAAAUGAUGAAGGAAUCUAAAAUGUUGUUGCACGGACAAGCAAUCUUAGAAUACAAGCACCUCAACGGGAAAACCACUGGUAAUUGAAGCUGGUAGAGCGCUGUGACAUCUCUCGUAAACAAGCUGCCAGUUAUGGACAAGGAUCACGUCAACGUUGCUACACUCCUGAAGCUGUGGCUGUCUUCAGGUCUUUUCUGCCUCGUGGGCAAAUCUGCAUACCAGUGAUUAUAUGCGUACUUAAGUUUUGCUUUGAAGCAAUAUCAGUGCUACACUUGUGAAGCAGUGGCAGUGUUCAGGUCUUGUCUGCCUCACUGACAUAUCUGCAUACCAGUAGUUAUGGGCAGACUUGGCUCUUUCUUUGGAGCAGUACAGUUGUAAGAUAAAUCCUGUUUGUAACUUUAUAAAUGAGUUGCUCAUUAAGGGCUUACGAAGGUUUUGAUGCCUUGCUGGCAUAUCUGCAUACCAGUAAAUAUGUGCAGAUUCCUUUCUUGCUUUGAAGCAAUAUUGUUGCUACACUCCUAAAGCAGUGGCAAUUGUCAGGUCUUUUCUGCCUCGCGGGCAAAUCUGCAUACCAGUAAUUAUGUGCAGACUUGGCUCUUCCAGAGAUUGUACUUGUAGGACUGGGUCCAUUGAAUGUAACAAAAAUAAUCGAUGCCUAUUUACAAAUGAAAUGAAGAGUCUGCAUUUUGGUGUAACUCCAUAUAACUGUCAGGUGAUUUCGCUCUGAACUUGUGACACUCUGAUCGGUCUGAAAUAAUCAUUAUCCCGCCCCUCUGGGAAAAAUUUGCAGCCCCAUUGCCCCGUUCUGUUACUGUCUGAGAGAUGGCGAUGUCAGAGGGGAAUGGCGGUCGGCAAACCUAUUGCGAAUGGGCAGCACAAUUUGGUGUAGGAUAUUCCGAAACCAUUGCACACUCCUGAAUCUGCGGUGGGUUGGUACCCCACGCUACGUAAGGAGUAGGUUUUUGGGUAAGCCUUGGUCCACGUGAAUAGGUCGUGCCUUAAAAAGAUGAGAAGUUGCGAAUUGACGCCCUGUGAAGUGUCCUUCGACCAGCUAGUGCUAAUCCGGUCACUGUCUCCAGGUCACCAUGCCUCGGUCAAUGAGCGGGCGAAGCACCCAAUGGCUCCGUCAGGAGUACAUCGUCAACUUCAGCCCGUAGUCAAACCGGUACGCGCACAAAUAUCUUAGUUGAGAGUGGGGGACAUCAGUUGCUUCUCAUCGGGGUAAUACAGUAUUGACCCCAUUUUUUGUUGGAUUCAUUUCCACUGAGGAGUGGUCGAUAAUGAGAAUUUCAAGCCAGUCUGAUUAUCACCAGUACAGAGGGCAAUUAUCUAAUAGUUAUGUGGCUUUCCCUCAAACUGUGUACUCUUUCAUGUCAAUUGUAAAUUAGUGUU